GAUGCCGAGUCCCGGGCUUCCCCGAACUUGGCUCUCCAGGCUGCAAUCGAUGGAGGCCGGUCUUGCUUAUCUCCCCUCAUGGCCGAUCAAGGAGGCGAACAGUGUCAAUCUGUCAUCGACACCUCAGGGUAUGGCCGCCACAUCUGGUAAAAAAUUUCACAACAGUACUAUGAUUGAUUGAAUGACAAGAAUGCUUCUAUUUCGUCAGUUUAAUUUAGUCCUUGGGCUAUUCUUGGAGAACACACACUCCAUGGUCCAGACUUGUGACUGUACUUAAGUAGAAGAUGGAAUUAUUCUAUGAUCUCUUCAUGGUUGAUCAUCGGGUUGCAAGUGAAAUUUGUGUAUGGACUGUGGAGCGUCAGUAUCAUAGUCAUGAGUCGUCAGGCUUCAGUCAUGUGUACUUGGUUAGACAUAUAUGAAGCGUAAGGGACUAGCUCAUUCACACUUGCGAUUCAGUAAUGUUCUUACAAUCAUUUAUUUAUGAUCUGCAGGUCUAAAAAACAAGCACCGGGUCCUUCUCCUCCAUGAAUCAGAUGUCAACGAGGCAACACGAAUCUGCAUGAGGCUGAACAUGAAAGAAACAAAAUGGAGACAACUCGACGAGUUUAGGAACAACAUGUAAUCGACGAUGAGCACUUUUCCAGUCAGGGAAAGGAUUUUUUAUGCCGCGCUAGGACUUUUCGUGGGAGGCCAUCUGAAACACGGUAUAAUGCAAAGGCAUUAGAAUUUCUAGCAGAAAUUGGACAGCAUAACGGAUGUAAAUGCUCAAAAAAGAUUUUGAGACACUUUGCAAAGGAUUGCAUAGACACUCAACAACAUCAUAUCAAGAUUCUGGGUCCAUCUUAUCAACGUAACGGGGUAGUAGAAUUGAACUAGGCUUGUAU
Molecule: long non-coding RNA, 884 nt
Filed under: Triticum aestivum (bread wheat)
Lineage: Eukaryota; Viridiplantae; Streptophyta; Magnoliopsida; Poales; Poaceae
Description: long non-coding RNA (TAES_LNC006920)
Source: RNAcentral